Molecule: unclassified non-coding RNA, 333 nt
Filed under: soil metagenome
Description: partial contains 5.8S ribosomal RNA, internal transcribed spacer 2, and large subunit ribosomal RNA
Rfam family: 5.8S ribosomal RNA (bases 1-120)
Source: RNAcentral
GAUGAAGAACGUAGCAAAAUGCGAUAAGUAAUGUGAAUUGCAGAAUUCAGUGAAUCAUCGAAUCUUUGAACGCACAUUGCGCCCGCCAGUAUUCUGGCGGGCAUGCCUGUUCGAGCGUCAUUUCAACCCUCAAGCUCAGCUUGGUGUUGGGACUCGCGGUAACCCGCGUUCCCCAAAUCGAUUGGCGGUCACGUCGAGCUUCCAUAGCGUAGUAAUCAUACACCUCGUUACUGGUAAUAGUCGCGGCCACGCCGUAAAACCCCAACUUCUGAAUGUUGACCUCGGAUCAGGUAGGAAUACCCGCUGAACUUAAGCAUAUCAAUAAGCGGAGGA